RNAcentral lists this ribosomal RNA (462 nucleotides) under uncultured bacterium. RNAcentral describes it as "bacterial SSU rRNA". It matches the Rfam family "Bacterial small subunit ribosomal RNA", at positions 28 to 507 of the family's 1533-position model. The record is from RNAcentral.
GACGAACGCUAGCGGCGUGCUUAACACAUGCAAGUCGAGCGGUAAGGCCCUUCGGGGUACACGAGCGGCGAACGGGUGAGUAACACGUGGGUGAUCUGCCUUGCACUUCGGGAUAAGCCUGGGAAACCGGGUCUAAUACCGGAUAUGACCACGAGAUGCAUGUCUUGUGGUGGAAAGAUUUAUCGGUGCGAGAUGGGCCCGCGGCCUAUCAGCUUGUUGGUGAGGUAACGGCUCACCAAGGCGACGACGGGUAGCCGACCUGAGAGGGUGACCGGCCACACUGGGACUGAGACACGGCCCAGACUCCUACGGGAGGCAGCAGUGGGGAAUAUUGCACAAUGGGCGAAAGCCUGAUGCAGCGACGCCGCGUGCGGGAUGACGGCCUUCGGGUUGUAAACCGCUUUUGACAGGGACGAAGCGCAAGUGACUGUACCUGUAGAAUAAGGACCGGCCAACUACGUG